CAGUGCAAUGAUAUUGUCAAAGC
RNAcentral lists this microRNA (23 nucleotides) under Macaca mulatta (Rhesus monkey). RNAcentral describes it as "mml-miR-301b". Its record names the gene mml-miR-301b. The record is from miRBase by way of RNAcentral. RNAcentral also lists the same sequence under 8 other names. Lineage: Eukaryota; Metazoa; Chordata; Mammalia; Primates; Cercopithecidae.